GGGGGGAUGAGGAUGGAAGGGUGGACUGAAAUCACAACGAAGCUUUGGAUUAUUCCUAUCAUAGGUUUCAUAAACGCUCAGCUCUUCCUGAUCCUCCGUGGCUAGAGAAAGUCAUACUGUAUGCUUUAUGUGCAUGAGAGACAUUUAUGUAUUUACAGUGCACACGCUUCAAUGGCUACUCCUGUGUUGAGGACAUCUGGCUCCAAGGUUGACAUAUUUUCUCCUCUACCUCUCUGUCUCUAACAACAACCUUAUCAUCCUCCAUUACACACCUGGAUUGUAUUACAUAUUAGUUCUCUUAACAGAGAUAGGUGUAAAACAAGGAUGAUGGGGAUGGGUCUGUGACGGAUAUCAUCGUGAGAAAGAGAGAAAUAGAGGGAGCGAGAGAAUGUGAGAGAGAAAGGGGGGGAGAGGGGGGAUAGAGAGAGACAGGGGAUAGAGAGAGACCGGGGUAGAGAGAGACAGGGGAUAGAGAGAGACCGGGGUAGAGAGAGACAGAGUGUAGAGAGAGACAGGGGCAGAGAGAGACAGCCAGGGAGAGAGAGAGACAGACAGGGACAGAGAGAGACAGACAGGGACAGAGAGAGACAGACAGGGAUAGAGAGAGACAGGGGUAGAGAGAGACAGGGGAUAGAGAGAGACGGGGAUAGAGAGAGAUAGGGGAUAGAGAGAGACAUAGGUAGAGAGAUACAGGGGUAGAGAGAGACAGGGGGUAGAGAGAGAUAGGGGAUAGAGAGAGACAUAGGUAGAGAGAUACAGGGGGUAGAGAGAGACAGGGGUAGAGAGAGACAGGGAGUAGAGAGAGACAGGGGAUAAAGAGAGACAGGAGGUAGAGAGAGACAGGGGAUAGAGACAGACAGGGGUAGAGAGAGACAGGGGUAGAGAGAGACAGGGAUAUAGAGAGACAGAGGUAGAGAGAGACAGAGGUAGAGAGAGACAGAGGUAGAGAGAGACAGAGGUAGAGAGAGGGGAUAGAGAGACAGGGAAUAGAGAGAGACAGGGGAUAGAGAGAGACGGGUAGAGAGAGACAGGGGAUAGAGAGAGACGGGGGUAGAGAGAGACAGGGAAUAGAGAGAGAGACGGGGUAGAGAGAGACAGGGGGUAGAGAGAGACAGGGGUAGAGAGAGACAGGGGUAGAGAGAGACAGGGGUAGAGAGAGACAGGGGUAGAGAGAGACAGGGAGCAGUUAUCCUCUCUAUUUCCUCUGCACCAGCUUUGCGGUUUCUGUGUGGAACAGAUGUUCACAACUUGAUACAGUGCACCAUGCCCCUCUCCUUGCUAUCUUCAGUCCCAGCACUACCAACUGUCUGCACACACACAUUCUCCCUCUCUCUCUCUUGCAUGCCAAUGUGGACACAAUUGCUUGCCUGAAUACAUGUGGAUGUAUUCAGGUGAAAACAGCGUAAAUUGAGAACUUUCUACUGCUGCCCAAUUGACUUUCUCUCCUGUUCCUGCAUCCUGCUCUUUAGUAAACAUUUCACUUUAACGAGGUGCUAUUUCCUGAUCCUUUAGCAGGGAGGGUGACCAGCCACCACUGACCUCAGGGUCUCC
RNAcentral lists this long non-coding RNA (1551 nucleotides) under Salmo salar (Atlantic salmon). RNAcentral's name for it is "lncRNA (ENSSSAG00000090638.1, ENSSSAG00000101855.1)". Lineage: Eukaryota; Metazoa; Chordata; Actinopteri; Salmoniformes; Salmonidae. The record is from RNAcentral.